RNAcentral lists this transfer RNA (89 nucleotides) under Felis catus (domestic cat). It matches the Rfam family "tRNA". From Rfam's summary of the family: Transfer RNA (tRNA) molecules are approximately 80 nucleotides in length. Their secondary structure includes four short double-helical elements and three loops (D, anti-codon, and T loops). The record is from Rfam by way of RNAcentral. Lineage: Eukaryota; Metazoa; Chordata; Mammalia; Carnivora; Felidae.
GCUUGGGUGGCUCAGUCAGUUGAGCGACUGACUUCAGUUCAGGUCAUGCAUGAUCUCAUGGCUCGUGGGUUCGAGCCCCAUAUCGGGCU